CGUUCCCGGGUCUUGUACACACCGCCCGUCACACCAUGGGAGCGGGUUUUACCAGAAGUAGGUAGCUUAACCGCGAAGGAGGGCGCUUACCACGGUAGGAUUCGUGACUGGGGUG
RNAcentral lists this ribosomal RNA (115 nucleotides) under uncultured bacterium. RNAcentral's name for it is "partial 16S ribosomal RNA". It matches the Rfam family "Bacterial small subunit ribosomal RNA", at positions 1369 to 1482 of the family's 1533-position model. The record is from RNAcentral.